RNAcentral lists this unclassified non-coding RNA (21 nucleotides) under Chlamydomonas reinhardtii. Its description in RNAcentral is "small RNA Cre_2515". Lineage: Eukaryota; Viridiplantae; Chlorophyta; Chlorophyceae; Chlamydomonadales; Chlamydomonadaceae. The record is from RNAcentral.
UCAGUGCAGUGCGUGCGUGCG